This 231-nucleotide ribosomal RNA is filed under the name uncultured Eubacteriales bacterium. RNAcentral describes it as "uncultured Clostridiales bacterium partial 16S ribosomal RNA". It matches the Rfam family "Bacterial small subunit ribosomal RNA", at positions 103 to 334 of the family's 1533-position model. Lineage: Bacteria; Bacillati; Bacillota; Clostridia; Eubacteriales. The record is from RNAcentral.
CGGGUGAGUAACGCGUGAGUAACCUGCCUUACACAAGGGGAUAGCCUUUGGAAACGAAGAAUAAUACCCUAUAAAACUAUAAAAGCACAUGCUAGAAUGGUCAAAGUGCUAGUGGUGUAAGAUGGACUUGCGUCUGAUUAGCUAGUUGGUGAGAUAAAAGCUCACCAAGGCAACGAUCAGUAGCCGGCUUGAGAGAGUGUACGGCCACAUUGGGACUGAGACACGGCCCAG